CAUUAAAGAGUAUAGAGACUUUGGUCUACUACUCCACCCUUUGUUUACAAUACCAUUGUUGCUUUGGCAGGCCCGUCGAAAGACAACUGGCUUCGGCUGGUCAGUGCCUGCCAGAGGACCUAAAACUCAUGUUUAUAUUAUUGUCUGAGUACUAUAUAAUAGUUAAAACUUUCAACAACGGAUCUCUUGGUUCUGGCAUCGAUGAAGAACGCAGCGAAAUGCGAUAAGUAAUGUGAAUUGCAGAAUUCAGUGAAUCAUCGAAUCUUUGAACGCACAUUGCGCCCUCUGGUAUUCCGGGGGGCAUGCCUGUUCGAGCGUCAUUACAACCCUCAAGCUCUGCUUGGUAUUAGGCUUCACCCUUUGGGGCGGGCUUUAAAAUCAGUGGCGGUGCCAUUCGGCUUCAAGCGUAGUAAUUUUCUCGCUUUGGAGGACCGGGUGUGUGCUUGCCAACAACCCCAAUUUUUUAAAGGUUG
This 473-nucleotide ribosomal RNA is filed under the name uncultured fungus. RNAcentral describes it as "eukaryotic LSU rRNA". The stretch from base 167 to 320 matches the Rfam family "5.8S ribosomal RNA". The record is from RNAcentral. Lineage: Eukaryota; Fungi.